GAUGAACGCUGGCGGCGUGCCUAAUACAUGCAAGUCGAGCGAACAGACGAGGAGCUUGCUCCUCUGACGUUAGCGGCGGACGGGUGAGUAACACGUGGAUAACCUACCUAUAAGACUGGGAUAACUUCGGGAAACCGGAGCUAAUACCGGAUAAUAUAUUGAACCGCAUGGUUCAAUAGUGAAAGACGGUUUUGCUGUCACUUAUAGAUGGAUCCGCGCCGCAUUAGCCAGUUGGUAAGGUAACGUCUUACCAAGGCAACGAUGAGUAGCCGACCUGAGAUGGUACUCGGCCACACUGGAACGAAGACACGGCCCAGACUCCAGCGGCAGGCUACGGUCGGGAAUCUGGCGCAGUGGGCGCAGAUUUGACGGAGCACCUCGGCGUGAGUGAGGAGGGUGCUCGGCUCGUAACACUCUGUCAUCAGGGAAGAACAAAUCUGUACGUAACUAUGCACAUCUUCACGGUACCUAGUCAGAAAGCCACGGCUAACUACGUG
Molecule: ribosomal RNA, 497 nt
Filed under: uncultured bacterium
Lineage: Bacteria
Description: partial 16S ribosomal RNA
Rfam family: Bacterial small subunit ribosomal RNA
Source: RNAcentral